UGGGGAAUAUUGCACAAUGGGCGCAAGCCUGAUGCAGCCAUGCCGCGUGUAUGAAGAAGGCCUUCGGGUUGUAAAGUACUUUCAGCGAGGAGGAAGGUGUUGUGGUUAAUAACCGCAGCAAUCGACGUUACUCGCAGAAGAAGCACCGGCUAACUCCGUGCCAGCAGCCGCGUAGUAAUAGCGGGUAGGGAUGGCAAGCUAGUUGAAAUUCGGAAUUACUGGGCGUAAAGCGCACGCAGGCGGUCUGUCAAGUCGGAUGUGAAAUCCCCGGGCUCAACCUGGGAACUGCAUCCGAAACUGGCAGGCUAGAGUCUUGUAGAGGGGGUAGAAUUCCAGGUGUAGCGGUGAAAUUGCGUAGAGAUCUGGAGGAAUACCGGUGGCGAAGGCGGCCCCCUGGACAAAGACUGACGCUCAGGUGCGAAAGCGUGGGAGCAAACA
RNAcentral lists this ribosomal RNA (438 nucleotides) under uncultured Enterobacteriaceae bacterium. Its description in RNAcentral is "bacterial SSU rRNA". It matches the Rfam family "Bacterial small subunit ribosomal RNA", at positions 355 to 774 of the family's 1533-position model. Lineage: Bacteria; Pseudomonadati; Pseudomonadota; Gammaproteobacteria; Enterobacterales; Enterobacteriaceae. The record is from RNAcentral.